AGUGAACGCUGGCGGCAGGCCUAACACAUGCAAGUCGAGCGGCAGCGGGUUCCCGCGAGGGGAUGCCGGCGAGCGGCGGACGGGUGAGGAACACAUCGGAAUCUGCCUGGUUGUGGGGGAUAACGUAGGGAAACUUACGCUAAUACCGCAUGAGACCCUGAGUCGACGGACUGGGGGUGAAAGUGAGGGACCUUCGGCCGUCACGCGACCAGAUGAGCCGAUGUCGGAUUAGCUAGUUGGCGGGGUAACGGCCCGCCAAGGCGACGAUCCGUAGCUGGUCUGAGAGGAUGAUCAGCCACACUGGGACUGAGACACGGCCCAGACUCCUACGGAGGCAGCAGUGGGAAUCUUGGACAAUGGGCGCAAGCCUGAUCCAGCCAUGCCGCGUGGGUGAA
Molecule: ribosomal RNA, 395 nt
Filed under: uncultured bacterium
Lineage: Bacteria
Description: bacterial SSU rRNA
Rfam family: Bacterial small subunit ribosomal RNA
Source: RNAcentral